AUAGCAACAGUCUGUAGAUUUACCUUUGGAAUGUGGGCGGGCCUUGGUGAUUAGGGACAGAAUAGAAUGCAGAGACUGGGCGAGCAGGAAGCGGGUCAGAGUGCCUGACAGGGGACUUAACAGGAUGAACAGAAAGGAGUGCUGAUAGGCUGAGGACCAUAGUGUCAGGUAAUCAUGGGAACUGAGUGCAGGGCAAGGGAAGCAUACCUAGUCGCAUAGCUGUCAACUUUUCCCUUUUCUUGUGAGGAAUCCUAUUUGGAAUAAGGGAAUUUCCCUUAGAAAAAAGGGAAACGUUGGCAGCUAUGCGCUAGUAGGAGUUCCUAUGGCCUUGUCAUGAACAAAUUUGGUAUAGAUAUAGUAUUUCUUGUGCCACUGAAGGGCUGGAAGCAGGAUAUGUGAACAGCAAGUUGCCUGCUCUACAGAGAUUUGGCCAGCAAUAUGCAGCAAUAGCAGGUAAGGCGAAGGGGGAGUUUUUAAUUAUUAUUAUUAUUAUUAUUUUAUUAAAUUUGUAUAACGCCCUAAAUCCAUAGAUCUCAUAAAUUUACAAUAAGAUAUUAGAUGCAGG
Non-coding RNA from Podarcis lilfordi (Lilford's wall lizard), 565 nucleotides. The record is from the annotation of a GenBank genome assembly. Lineage: Eukaryota; Metazoa; Chordata; Lepidosauria; Squamata; Lacertidae.